AUGUUGCAAAAAGGAGAGACGGUUAGCCCUCCCUUUGGCAAGGACGGAAGAGACCAAUCGGUCUUUCUAACACACAUGGGCAUUGUUCUCUACUUUAGAGCAACCUAUUUUUCUAU
RNAcentral lists this non-coding RNA (116 nucleotides) under Octopus bimaculoides (California two-spot octopus). Lineage: Eukaryota; Metazoa; Mollusca; Cephalopoda; Octopoda; Octopodidae. The record is from RNAcentral.